This 511-nucleotide ribosomal RNA is filed under the name Neochauliodes meridionalis. Its description in RNAcentral is "partial large subunit ribosomal RNA". The stretch from base 390 to 511 matches the Rfam family "Bacterial large subunit ribosomal RNA", at positions 2473 to 2594 of the family's 2925-position model. Lineage: Eukaryota; Metazoa; Arthropoda; Insecta; Megaloptera; Corydalidae. The record is from RNAcentral.
GUCUUUUUGAUAAUAAUUUAAAGUCUAACCUGCCCACUGAAAAUUUUUGAAGGGCCGCGGUAUUUUGACUGUGCAAAGGUAGCAUAAUCAUUAGUCUUUUAAUUGAAGGCUUGUAUGAAUGGUUGGAUGAGGUAUUAACUGUCUCAAUUUAAUAAAUAAUAGAAUUUUAUUUUUAAGUUAAAAAGCUUAAAUAAUUUUAAAAGACGAGAAGACCCUAUAGAUCUUUAUAUAUUAAUUUUUAAUAAUUUUUUAGUUUAAAUUUAUUUUUAUUUGUUAAGGUAUUGAAUUGGGGUGAUUAAAAAAUUUAGUAAACUUUUUUUUUAUUAGUUAACAAUGAUUUUUGAAUAGUUGAUCCAUUUUUUGUGAUUAUAAGAUUAAGUUACCUUAGGGAUAACAGCGUAAUUUUUUUGGAGAGUUCUUAUCGAUAAAAAAGAUUGCGACCUCGAUGUUGAAUUAAAGGUUAAUUUUAGGUGUAGAAGUUUAAAAUUUUGGUCUGUUCGACCAUUAAAUC